This 2933-nucleotide ribosomal RNA is filed under the name Escherichia coli. RNAcentral describes it as "23S ribosomal RNA". It matches the Rfam family "Bacterial large subunit ribosomal RNA". The record is from RNAcentral. Lineage: Bacteria; Pseudomonadati; Pseudomonadota; Gammaproteobacteria; Enterobacterales; Enterobacteriaceae.
GGGUUGUGAGGUUAAGCGACUAAGCGUACACGGUGGAUGCCCUGGCAGUCAGAGGCGAUGAAGGACGUGCUAAUCUGCGAUAAGCGUCGGUAAGGUGAUAUGAACCGUUAUAACCGGCGAUUUCCGAAUGGGGAAACCCAGUGUGAUUCGUCACACUAUCAUUAACUGAAUCCAUAGGUUAAUGAGGCGAACCGGGGGAACUGAAACAUCUAAGUACCCCGAGGAAAAGAAAUCAACCGAGAUUCCCCCAGUAGCGGCGAGCGAACGGGGAGCAGCCCAGAGCCUGAAUCAGUGUGUGUGUUAGUGGAAGCGUCUGGAAAGGCGCGCGAUACAGGGUGACAGCCCCGUACACAAAAAUGCACAUGCUGUGAGCUCGAUGAGUAGGGCGGGACACGUGGUAUCCUGUCUGAAUAUGGGGGGACCAUCCUCCAAGGCUAAAUACUCCUGACUGACCGAUAGUGAACCAGUACCGUGAGGGAAAGGCGAAAAGAACCCCGGCGAGGGGAGUGAAAAAGAACCUGAAACCGUGUACGUACAAGCAGUGGGAGCACAGAGCAAUCUGUGUGACUGCGUACCUUUUGUAUAAUGGGUCAGCGACUUAUAUUCUGUAGCAAGGUUAACCGAAUAGGGGAGCCGAAGGGAAACCGAGUCUUAACUGGGCGUUAAGUUGCAGGGUAUAGACCCGAAACCCGGUGAUCUAGCCAUGGGCAGGUUGAAGGUUGGGUAACACUAACUGGAGGACCGAACCGACUAAUGUUGAAAAAUUAGCGGAUGACUUGUGGCUGGGGGUGAAAGGCCAAUCAAACCGGGAGAUAGCUGGUUCUCCCCGAAAGCUAUUUAGGUAGCGCCUCGUGAAUUCAUCUCCGGGGGUAGAGCACUGUUUCGGCAAGGGGGUCAUCCCGACUUACCAACCCGAUGCAAACUGCGAAUACCGGAGAAUGUUAUCACGGGAGACACACGGCGGGUGCUAACGUCCGUCGUGAAGAGGGAAACAACCCAGACCGCCAGCUAAGGUCCCAAAGUCAUGGUUAAGUGGGAAACGAUGUGGGAAGGCCCAGACAGCCAGGAUGUUGGCUUAGAAGCAGCCAUCAUUUAAAGAAAGCGUAAUAGCUCACUGGUCGAGUCGGCCUGCGCGGAAGAUGUAACGGGGCUAAACCAUGCACCGAAGCUGCGGCAGCGACGCUUAUGCGUUGUUGGGUAGGGGAGCGUUCUGUAAGCCUGCGAAGGUGUGCUGUGAGGCAUGCUGGAGGUAUCAGAAGUGCGAAUGCUGACAUAAGUAACGAUAAAGCGGGUGAAAAGCCCGCUCGCCGGAAGACCAAGGGUUCCUGUCCAACGUUAAUCGGGGCAGGGUGAGUCGACCCCUAAGGCGAGGCCGAAAGGCGUAGUCGAUGGGAAACAGGUUAAUAUUCCUGUACUUGGUGUUACUGCGAAGGGGGGACGGAGAAGGCUAUGUUGGCCGGGCGACGGUUGUCCCGGUUUAAGCGUGUAGGCUGGUUUUCCAGGCAAAUCCGGAAAAUCAAGGCUGAGGCGUGAUGACGAGGCACUACGGUGCUGAAGCAACAAAUGCCCUGCUUCCAGGAAAAGCCUCUAAGCAUCAGGUAACAUCAAAUCGUACCCCAAACCGACACAGGUGGUCAGGUAGAGAAUACCAAGGCGCUUGAGAGAACUCGGGUGAAGGAACUAGGCAAAAUGGUGCCGUAACUUCGGGAGAAGGCACGCUGAUAUGUAGGUGAAGCGACUUGCUCGUGGAGCUGAAAUCAGUCGAAGAUACCAGCUGGCUGCAACUGUUUAUUAAAAACACAGCACUGUGCAAACACGAAAGUGGACGUAUACGGUGUGACGCCUGCCCGGUGCCGGAAGGUUAAUUGAUGGGGUCAGCGCAAGCGAAGCUCUUGAUCGAAGCCCCGGUAAACGGCGGCCGUAACUAUAACGGUCCUAAGGUAGCGAAAUUCCUUGUCGGGUAAGUUCCGACCUGCACGAAUGGCGUAAUGAUGGCCAGGCUGUCUCCACCCGAGACUCAGUGAAAUUGAACUCGCUGUGAAGAUGCAGUGUACCCGCGGCAAGACGGAAAGACCCCGUGAACCUUUACUAUAGCUUGACACUGAACAUUGAGCCUUGAUGUGUAGGAUAGGUGGGAGGCUUUGAAGUGUGGACGCCAGUCUGCAUGGAGCCGACCUUGAAAUACCACCCUUUAAUGUUUGAUGUUCUAACGUGGACCCGUAAUCCGGGUUGCGGACAGUGUCUGGUGGGUAGUUUGACUGGGGCGGUCUCCUCCUAAAGAGUAACGGAGGAGCACGAAGGUUGGCUAAUCCUGGUCGGACAUCAGGAGGUUAGUGCAAUGGCAUAAGCCAGCUUGACUGCGAGCGUGACGGCGCGAGCAGGUGCGAAAGCAGGUCAUAGUGAUCCGGUGGUUCUGAAUGGAAGGGCCAUCGCUCAACGGAUAAAAGGUACUCCGGGGAUAACAGGCUGAUACCGCCCAAGAGUUCAUAUCGACGGCGGUGUUUGGCACCUCGAUGUCGGCUCAUCACAUCCUGGGGCUGAAGUAGGUCCCAAGGGUAUGGCUGUUCGCCAUUUAAAGUGGUACGCGAGCUGGGUUUAGAACGUCGUGAGACAGUUCGGUCCCUAUCUGCCGUGGGCGCUGGAGAACUGAGGGGGGCUGCUCCUAGUACGAGAGGACCGGAGUGGACGCAUCACUGGUGUUCGGGUUGUCAUGCCAAUGGCACUGCCCGGUAGCUAAAUGCGGAAGAGAUAAGUGCUGAAAGCAUCUAAGCACGAAACUUGCCCCGAGAUGAGUUCUCCCUGACUCCUUGAGAGUCCUGAAGGAACGUUGAAGACGACGACGUUGAUAGGCCGGGUGUGUAAGCGCAGCGAUGCGUUGAGCUAACCGGUACUAAUGAACCGUGAGGCUUAACCUUACAACGCCGAAGGUGUUU